This 88-nucleotide transfer RNA is filed under the name Methylobacterium mesophilicum. RNAcentral's name for it is "tRNA-Arg". The record is from RNAcentral. Lineage: Bacteria; Pseudomonadati; Pseudomonadota; Alphaproteobacteria; Hyphomicrobiales; Methylobacteriaceae.
GCCCGUUCGCGCCGCGGCGGACGCUGGUCGGGCCGCGGCCCCGACUGGCGCUGCUCGGCGCUGCGCUGAUCGUCCCGGCGCUCGGGCC